AUGCCCCUUUCCAUGGCUCAGCACCAUCGGACCAGAGUGUAUCCAUGGACUACUUGGGUACCGCAGAAACCAGAGAAUCUGAAGGAAGGACCAGGAGGUGUCCUGGUGAGCAUGCACUCAGGACAAAGGGCACAAGGUCAUUUGGAGAAAUACUUCCCUCAGCCCAGGGAAAAUUCUGGUGAGUUAGUCCUAUUCCACAGAAAAGAAAUUAAUAAUGUGAAGAGAGGAACUGAAACGUGCUCCCUCCCAGACAAGAAUAAGGGAGGAGCAAUUUGGCCUGUAGAACGUUUCAUGACACUUAGGGAGGGGUUCAAGAAGGAAAAUGUAGUAAGGCCAUAAAGUAUUACCUUUCAAAGAGCUCAGUAUAACUUACGUUAAUGGGAAUAACAUAAAUUUCCAAUAGAAACAGAUGGGUUUAUGUUUAAAUUUUUGUGUGUGUGUGUGUGGAAUUGAAAUAUUUUUGAUUUUAGAGCCUCUGGGAGAAACAACUGCAGCUUCUUUCCUCAGUGAAUACUGAGCUAGAUAUUCCUUUCUGCAGUUUCACUAACUCAACAAAGCAACAAAAAUCACUGACAUUCAAAGCUAAAAGUAGUAAAGUUGUGAGACUGAAGAAGGGGGAGAACACUUACCUAAAGAGGAGGGCCUGAUCUUGAGAAAAAGGAGAGUGGGGGUAGAUUCUCUCAGUGAUAGCAUUGGAAGGUGGGAGUGUGAAAGGUUGUGGCAAGUCAAGAAACAGGAGAGGUAGGGAACAAGGGGUGAAAGUAGAGUGCCUUUGGAAGAUUUGGAGAACAUCCAAAUGUUGGAUGGAUAACCCCAGCCCUGGCCACCUUGCCCUGGUUGGUACUGAGAAGAAUAAAGUAGCUGACUAGAGGCAAAUAUUGAGUUUCCCCUACCUUUACCUUAGCCAUCCUGCCGCGGAACUCUCUGACUUUGGAAUAGUCACUGAAAGACUCUAAGAACCAUUGAAGCUUUCAUCCAAGUCCAGAUUAUGUUUGUUGUAGGGAAGAUCUGAUCAGACUGUAACUAAACAGAUAGAAGAAAUCUUUCAGCCUUAAAUGCCUUAAAAGCUUUAAUUCAAACUCACUUAAAGGGGAAUUUGUUGAUUUAUAUAAUAAAAUUAUCCAUUGUCUUCAAGUGUGACUUUACGGGUUCAAAUCUCUUACCAGGACCCAAAUGUCUCCUGCCCUCCUUUGGCUAUCUGUGUUUUCUGAACAAGUGGCCCCUCAGUUCCAGGUUCACAUUUGCCCUAUUUCAAGUCUAGUGGAAUAACUUACCACUUCCUGAUAGUUGCACUGCAGGUUCUGGGUUCCUUUUUGUGUGGCCAUGCCUGGUCCAUUCUUACUGCUCUACAUGGGACAUAGGGAGCUUUGGCUCUGAGAUCAGACUUGGCUUCAUUGCUAAUAACUGGGCUGGACACGGAAAAGGCUGGUUUCCCAAAAGUCGGUUACUUGAAGAAUGAGGAGUGGAUGCAGGGUAGGAGCAAACAUCAAUAGCCAUUGCACUCCCCUCCAGAGACAUGGAUGGCUAGAAGGCUUACUAUAAUUGUGGAGUACCUGGUGGAAGACUUGUCUAACUGCAGAGUAAAUGGUAAACUGGAUAGUCAGUAAAGUCUAGCUCCCCAACUUGCCCCUCUUUACAGAAUUGCUGAGAACAAACUCUGUGGGACAGGAAAAAAAGCCAAC
Molecule: long non-coding RNA, 1682 nt
Filed under: Macaca mulatta (Rhesus monkey)
Lineage: Eukaryota; Metazoa; Chordata; Mammalia; Primates; Cercopithecidae
Description: lncRNA (ENSMMUG00000057397.1)
Source: RNAcentral